Molecule: ribosomal RNA, 391 nt
Filed under: uncultured bacterium
Lineage: Bacteria
Description: bacterial SSU rRNA
Rfam family: Bacterial small subunit ribosomal RNA
Source: RNAcentral
GACGAACGCUGGCGGCGUGCUUAACACAUGCAAGUCGAGCGGUAAGGCCCUUUCGGGGGUACACGAGCGGCGAACGGGUGAGUAACACGUGGGUGACCUGCCCUCAGCUCUGGGAUAAGCCUGGGAAACCGGGUCUAAUACCGGAUAUGACUCCAUGACGCAUGUUGUGGGGUGGAAAGCCUUGUGCGGCUGAGGAUGGGCCCGCGGCCUAUCAGCUUGUUGGUGGGGUGAUGGCCUACCAAGGCGACGACGGGUAGCCGGCCUGAGAGGGGCGACCGGCCACACUGGGACUGAGACACGGGCCCAGACUCCUACGGGAGGGCAGCAGUGGGGAAUCUUGCGCGAUGGGCGAAAGCCUGACGCAGCGACGCCGCGUGAGGGAUGACGGCCU